GGCGCAUGUGCAGUGAAGCGCGCCAACACCGAACAGACUGGACGACUGGAGCCAUUUUGAGCGUCUGCAUGCGAGACCUACGGGGUUUACUCGCAUCCAACGUGUUUCUUAAAGUCAUCGUUUUAUACUGAGCUCAAAGUCAGUGAAAAUCUGCACAUUUUUUCCUUGUGCCCUUCGAUGCCUGGCUAGGCUUUCUCACGUGUUUCCAGACUAACUCGACGGAGUCGACAAGACUGCAAACGUCUCAUUUAAAAACGCAAACCAUCCUGGAAGGUCUCCCUAUUUUUCUCUGUGAAGAUUCCUCUGCACUUUUUAAAACAUGCCUGGACGAGACUCCAGAGGACAGACAGACCAGAGGGAUGAAGGUGGGAAUCCUUAUUGUAAUUGAAGAUGAUGCCACCCCCACCACACUACCCAGUGUCAUAAAAUUUGCUGUUGUGUUGGAGGAGGUGAUUGUACUGAAAGAUGCUCCAGACUUGCAGUCUGCACUUGCAUACCUGUUCGGGCCUUCUGUUUGCCUUGGACUUUGAGUACCCAAAGCAACUAAAAUACACUUUCGAGGUUAUUGAGAAGGUGUUCAUGAAGAUGGGCACUCACUGUUCUCCUAGGGUACAGUCCCUCAAAACUAAGCUAUUACUGUGACGUUGCAUUUGUGGGGUGUUUGUAUCUUAAGCAGUUAAGAUGCAAGUGAAUAGUAUUGUUGUUUUUUUGUUUUUUUUGCAAUGUGCUUGCAUUUUGUUUGACUUGUUUUUGGUUCAACUGUGAACUUGAGGUUGUGAAAAACAUUGUGCCACUGUUUCAGCACUUUAAGCACAAACGUGAAAGGAACACGCUGUCUUUUUGGGACUUUAGCUUAUUCACCAUAUCCACCAGAGUUAGAUAAGUCCAUACAUACCCUUCUCAUCUCUGUGCGUGCUGUAACUCUGUCUGAUGAACCCACAGCUAGCCU
Molecule: long non-coding RNA, 949 nt
Organism: Cyprinus carpio (common carp)
Lineage: Eukaryota; Metazoa; Chordata; Actinopteri; Cypriniformes; Cyprinidae
Exons: 4
Source: RefSeq, a predicted model, not a curated record